Molecule: transfer RNA, 73 nt
Filed under: Paramuricea clavata
Lineage: Eukaryota; Metazoa; Cnidaria; Anthozoa; Malacalcyonacea; Plexauridae
Rfam family: tRNA
About the family: Transfer RNA (tRNA) molecules are approximately 80 nucleotides in length.
Source: Rfam by way of RNAcentral
GACUGCGUAGCUCAGUUGGCAGAGCAUUGGGCUAGUAUUCCAAAGGUCGUAGGUUCGAUUCCCACCGUGGCCA